UACGAAGGGGGCUAGCGUUGCUCGGAAUGACUGGGCGUAAAGGGCGCGUAGGCGGAUGGCACAGUCAGAUGUGAAAUUCCCGGGCUUAACCUGGGGGCUGCAUUUGAUACGUGUUGUCUAGAGUGAGGAAGAGGGUUGUGGAAUUCCCAGUGUAGAGGUGAAAUUCGUAGAUAUUGGGAAGAACACCGGUGGCGAAGGCGGCUCACUGGCCCGUAACUGACGCUCAUGCACGAAAGCGUGGGGAGCAAAACGG
Molecule: ribosomal RNA, 253 nt
Filed under: uncultured bacterium
Lineage: Bacteria
Description: partial 16S ribosomal RNA
Rfam family: Bacterial small subunit ribosomal RNA
Source: RNAcentral